UGAGCAAUCUGCCCUUCUCAUCGGAAUAAGCGUUGGAAACGACGUCUAAUGCCGAAUACGACCUCCUUUCGCAUGAUCGGAGGUGGAAAGCUCCGGCGGAGAAGGAUGAGCUCGCGGCCUAUCAGCUAGUUGGUGUGGGUAAUGGCCCACCAAGACGACGACGGGUAGCCGGCCUGAGAGGGUCGACCCGGCCACACGUGGGACUGAGACCACGGCCCAGCUCCGUAGGG
Molecule: ribosomal RNA, 230 nt
Filed under: uncultured bacterium
Lineage: Bacteria
Description: partial 16S ribosomal RNA
Rfam family: Bacterial small subunit ribosomal RNA
Source: RNAcentral